AAUCCUGCAUCAAGUGCAUUGU
RNAcentral lists this microRNA (22 nucleotides) under Polistes canadensis. RNAcentral describes it as "pca-miR-3770-5p". Lineage: Eukaryota; Metazoa; Arthropoda; Insecta; Hymenoptera; Vespidae. The record is from miRBase by way of RNAcentral.